GCUUAACACAUGCAAGUCGUGCGAGAAAGUAUCUUCGGAUAUGAGUAGAGCGGCGGACGGGUGAGUAACGCGUAGGAAUCUACCUAGUAGAAGGGGAUAGCCCGGGGAAACUCGGAUUAAUACCGUAUACCUCCUUCGGGAGAAAGAAGGCCUCUCUUUGAAGCUUUCGCUAUUAGAUGAGCCUGCGUAAGAUUAGCUUGUUGGUGAGGUAAAGGCUCACCAAGGCUACGAUCUUUAGCUGGUCUGAGAGGACGAUCAGCCACAUUGGGACUGAGACACGGCCCAGACUCCUACGGGAGGCAGCAGUGGGGAAUAUUGGACAAUGGGCGCAAGCCUGAUCCAGCCAUACCGCGUGUGUGAAGAAGGCCUUCGGGUUGUAAAGCACUUUAAGCAGGGAGAAAAAGUUAUAGGUUAAUACCCUAUGGCCCUGAUGUUACCUGCAGAAUAAGCACCGGCUAAUUCCGUGCCAGCAGCCGCGGUAAUACGGAAGGUGCAAGCGUUAAUCGGAAUUACUGGGCGUAAAGCGCGCGUAGGUGGUUUGUUAAGUUGGAUGUGAAAGCCCUGGGCUCAACCUAGGAACUGCAUCCAAAACUAACUCACUAGAGUACGAUAGAGGGAGGUAGAAUUCAUAGUGUAGCGGUGGAAUGCGUAGAUAUUAUGAAGAAUACCAGUGGCGAAGGCGGCCUCCUGGAUCUGUACUGACACUGAGGUGCGAAAGCGUGGGUAGCGAACAGGAUUAGAUACCCUGGUAGUCCACGCCGUAAACGAUGACAACUAGCUGUUGGGAGACUAUGUCUU
Molecule: ribosomal RNA, 798 nt
Filed under: marine metagenome
Description: bacterial SSU rRNA
Rfam family: Bacterial small subunit ribosomal RNA
Source: RNAcentral